GAACUGCGAUAAGUAAUGUGAAUUGCAGAAUUCAGUGAAUCAUCGAGUCUUUGAACGCACAUUGCGCCCCCUGGCAUUCCGGGGAGCAUGCCUGUCCGAGCGUCAUUGCUGCCCUUCAAGCCCGGCUUGUGUGUUGGGUCGUCGUCCCCUCCGGGGGACGGGCCCGAAAGGCAGCGGCGGCACCGCGUCCGGUCCUCGAGCGUAUGGGGCUUUGUCACCCGCUCGAUAAGGACCGGCCGGGCGCCAGCCGGCGUCUCCAACCUUUUUUUCUCAGGUUGACCUCGGAUCAGGUAGGGAUACCCGCUGAACUUAAGC
Molecule: unclassified non-coding RNA, 315 nt
Filed under: plant metagenome
Description: partial contains 5.8S ribosomal RNA, internal transcribed spacer 2, and large subunit ribosomal RNA
Rfam family: 5.8S ribosomal RNA (bases 1-105)
Source: RNAcentral